Drosophila gunungcola (fruit fly) is the source of this 643-nucleotide long non-coding RNA. RefSeq lists it as uncharacterized. NCBI's taxonomy places the organism in Eukaryota, Metazoa, Arthropoda, Insecta, Diptera, Drosophilidae. The transcript is spliced from 4 exons. The record is from RefSeq and is a predicted model, not a curated record.
UUGAACUUCAAAAAGUUAAAAUUUUGUUUGUGUUUAAAACUUUAAACUACCAAUAUGGCCAUAUUUAGUUGAGUUAUUCUCAGUGUGACAGUUGCUGUGGCACCGGCAUCAUCUGCCGCAUCGCGUCAUUUUUACAGUCAGGAAGCUGGACAAUAGUUUGCGGAUUGUGUGGCUUCUCCAGCAGCGACUCUUUGUCAUCGACAGCUGGCGGGCAGGAAGCCCAGCUCAGGCGCUAAACCAUAUAUGCAUUUCCAGCUCAGCACGCGCUUGGACAUCACAACGACGUAAAGAUUUGAGCCAGCUGCAGUUACACUCCCAAAACUCUAAAAAGGUUUUGCAGUGCAAUGGUUAAUGGUUAAAAUUGCGUUUUGGUUUUUAAUAUCACAAAAUGUAAAAACAUGUCAGCGUUGGUUAAAUUCAGUUUUCAUAGAAAUAUCCAUAAAAAAUACUACUGUUAAAGCUAAUGGUUAAAGAGAACAGCAUGCUGCGGCAUUGAACAUAAAACCAUUCUAAACUCACGUUGAGGCACAGUAGGAAGAAGUCCAUGGUGAAGAUGAAACCGACAAUCGGGUCGAAAUUCACGCGGCGGGAGAGGGCCAAAUACACCAGGUGGAAGCACUCGAUGAGCAUGUCGCCCAGCAUG